CUGGAAAUUCUUCACAUCAAUAAUGGUAAAUCUGAGAUUAGCCCCUUAGCUCCUCCUUAGUGGCUCUGCAGAGAAGUUUUUCCAAGACUACCAGGAAGAGCUGCAUUCAGAAGAGAAUGUGCUGGCUCAGCUGUGCCCUGUUCAGUCCAUAUGCAGUGAAGAAAACAGGCUUAGAAGUAAUAUCUGUGCCCUGCCUUGAUCAGGCUGGCCAUGCUUUGAAGAAGGCAAGAGCUUGCUUGUGCCUGUAGGGAAGAGCUCACUUUUGCCUGGAAGCAGGUAGAAUAAAAUACUUUAAAUGCAUGUCACAGACAAGGCUGGAAAAAAGGGGUAGAAAAGUCAAUACUUCUAUAAUUAUUCCAGUAAUAGUGCCAGUGGUACAGGCAGACUUGGAUGUUGAAAGUGCAAUAAUGGCAGUGCCUGCAGCGAUAACAAAAGCAGUAUAACAGCACUUCUUUUCCUUUCUUCAAACAGAGCCAUCACAAGAAAGAAAAGGCAAUGUUUUUGAGUAGAAGAAAAGUAUUUUGAUUCUAAUCAUACAUUCCUCUUCCACUUUCUUCUACCUUAAAAUAUACCACUGGGCAGAAGACUGUUGAAAUGAGAGAGUUCCAGUCCUCUUGGGUUGUCUGUGCAAGUGGACCAAUUCUUCUGACUCUGUUCUUUAAUGUUAAAUUUAGCAAGGAUGCCUCCAUGAUAGUUUUUAAUGGGUAUUUGAGAAACAGUGUGCAACACAGGUAAGAGCUUGCUGCUACACCUCUUACGAACAUUACAGCUAGCCCUAGGCUACAAUAGAUUGAUGUUAGCACAGAAACUUUCAAAGCAGAACUGCAGGCAAGAGAGAGCCCAGAUAUCUCAACAUGACACCUGCAUAAUGAAAUUCCAGAAAUUGACACCUGGGUCCGAUGUUCUGUAUUUUCAAAAACAGGCACCAGAAUGCUUGGGAUUCCUGAACUCAACAGACUGAGAUGGCACAAGCAUGGUUAGGACUUCAAAAGUACAGGUGAAGCGGGCAGCAAGUAUGUGAGGUAGGUAGGAAAAGAAUGAGCUAUGGACAGCCCACUAAGCAUGGGUUUAGCUGUUAGGAUUUAGGGGCUAGAAUACCAUCCCUUCUCCCUGGAGGAGGUAAGUGGCACAGGGUUUUGCAGAACUACCUGGAGAAGUCUGUGUAGGCAGAAAGUUACUCCAAACUAGUUCAGGCAUUCCUUUAUUUCAGAGUGUGCAGAAGAAGGAUCAGCCUAAUGUGAGAGUAAAUGGUUAGGAUGUCCACACAGCAUAUGUGACUGAUACAGUUAUUUUAAGAAUGUUGAUUAGAAUAGAUUUUACAGUGGUGAAAAACCUAAUGCAUAUUGGAAAGAAAAAUAAGGCUGGUUAUUCUAAAGGAAAAUGAAAAAUACUUCCAUAAUUAACAGGAUAGAUUCUUUACAACAUUGAUGGGUUUGAUCCAUCAGCAAAAUCUCUCUGAGUUGACACUUAAAGAUGUUUCACAGUGAAGAGAUGGCAUCCUUGUAUUCUGCUCCUGUAGCCAUACUCUGAGUCUUCACAAAGAGCAUUGCAUAGUGCAGGAAAGAUGUAACUGUGACCAUUCACUGGUUUUCCUUGUCUUGCUUUUACAUUGUUUAAGUGAAGAUUAGGAUUUACGCUGCAUCUGGAGCAGGUCAGAAUGAGAUAAUCUUGGUCAUAAGUCUUGCAGAAAUAGCUGAUUUUAGUAGCUUUCUAUAAAUAACCUUGUGUUACAGGCAAUACAGGAUGUGUCACACACAUUUGUAAUGAGAACACCCUUCUGCUCUGUUGUAUGAAGACAAAAUCUAAGGAGAGGGACACUUAUCUGAGUUUCUGAGUAUCUAAGAGAGGAAGGCAAGUUAUUCAAUUCCUUAUCAGUAGAAAAAAAUCUUCAUCCAGUAAUGAAUUGGAUCAUCUUGCUAGCGGAUCGCAUCUGGUACAGCUCUUAUUCGGGUACAGAUUUU
Molecule: long non-coding RNA, 1961 nt
Filed under: Anas platyrhynchos platyrhynchos (common mallard)
Lineage: Eukaryota; Metazoa; Chordata; Aves; Anseriformes; Anatidae
Description: lncRNA (ENSAPLG00000030569.1)
Source: RNAcentral